This 458-nucleotide ribosomal RNA is filed under the name uncultured bacterium. RNAcentral describes it as "partial 16S ribosomal RNA". It matches the Rfam family "Bacterial small subunit ribosomal RNA", at positions 338 to 795 of the family's 1533-position model. The record is from RNAcentral.
CCUACGGGUGGCAGCAGUGAGGAAUAUUGGUCAAUGGGCGAGAGCCUGAACCAGCCAAGUCGCGUGAGGGAGUACUGCCCUAUGGGUUGUAAACCUCUUUUGUCGGGGAGCAAAAGCCGGACGUGUCCGGCUGUGAGAGUACCCGAAGAAAAAGCAUCGGCUAACUCCGUGCCAGCAGCCGCGGUAAUACGGAGGAUGCGAGCGUUAUCCGGAUUUAUUGGGUUUAAAGGGUGCGCAGGCGGAUUUUUAAGUCAGCGGUAAAAUCGUGGGGCUCAACCCCAUCCAGCCGUUGAAACUGGGGAUCUAGAGUGGGCGAGAGGUAUGCGGAAUGCGUGGUGUAGCGGUGAAAUGCAUAGAUAUCACGCAGAACCCCGAUUGCGAAGGCAGCAUACCGGUGCACAACUGACGCUCAGGCACGAAAGCGUGGGUAUCGAACAGGAUUAGAUACCCCUGUAGUC